AGAGCCCACUGGUGGAGACGCUUGGGUGUAGGAGGGCUGGAUCUCUCCAGUCAACUGCGGAAGCGGGGACUGUCUUGGGAUUGGCGCCUGGGAGUGCCCUGGAAUGGAGACACCGCCGUGGGAUCUGGCGCUCACCAAGACCCUAAUGGGAAGAAACACUGGGGAGCCCGCGACGCUUCCUUCUCCUUGCCUCCCCCUCGCCAGUGAGAAAGCAAAGUUGGGGAGGGUGAAGCAGGAGGCCAGAAGCCCCUCGCUCGCUCUCCCACCCGCCCCACCACUGCGGCCCGCGUGGCACCAGGCUAGAGACGGGCUCCCGGGCAUUAUUCAAAAGCAAGGCGGCCUUUUGUCCUGGGCACCCGAGGACUUGGUGAGAAGCCAGCUGGGCGGCCUGGGAUCCUCUGGCCCUUUGCUGGGCUGGAAGCUCCAGACAAUCGUGGGUUGUCCAUAGGGAGAUGGCUAGUGGUGCCCGUGGGUCUAAGCUUGAGAAUUGUGACUCGGCUUGCUUUCCCCGGUCCCUGCCCGCUCUCCGACUCCAUUGCAGGCAGAUUUAGGACCGGUCUGAGAUCUAACCCUCUCCCGGUGCUUCUCCCACCCGCUCCCUGGAGGUUCUACUAAGAAAGAUGAAGGAACAAUCCUAGUCAACCAAGCAGAUCCCUUGGAAUCUAGUUCCUCCUACCCUCCAACUCCACCGUACUGAUCUAACAAGGUUUAAUGGGGAAGGGGAAAUCUGUUAUUUGCCUAAAUGCUUCAUUUUUGUCGCGCGGGCGCUUGUGGCUUUGUAACACCAU
This 788-nucleotide long non-coding RNA is filed under the name Mus caroli (Ryukyu mouse). Its description in RNAcentral is "lncRNA (MGP_CAROLIEiJ_G0004800.1)". The record is from RNAcentral. Lineage: Eukaryota; Metazoa; Chordata; Mammalia; Rodentia; Muridae.